GCACAAGGACCAGAGUUCAAUCCCCAGUACCAAAAAAAUAUAUAUAUAUGCGCAUAUAUAUAUAUAUAUAUAUAUAUAUGCGCAUAUAUAUAUAUUUUUUUGGUACUGGGGAUUGAACUCUGGUCCUUGUGC
Non-coding RNA from Heterocephalus glaber (naked mole-rat), 132 nucleotides. NCBI's taxonomy places the organism in Eukaryota, Metazoa, Chordata, Mammalia, Rodentia, Bathyergidae. The record is from Rfam.